This is an RNA transcript of Eucalyptus grandis, 1699 nucleotides long. It is a transcript of the gene named benzyl alcohol O-benzoyltransferase, with no coding region annotated. Lineage: Eukaryota; Viridiplantae; Streptophyta; Magnoliopsida; Myrtales; Myrtaceae. The transcript is spliced from 2 exons. The record is from RefSeq and is a predicted model, not a curated record.
UAGACAGAGCCAUUAGCUCAUCUUUGUCCAAGUAUAUAACUAAGUAGUGAGCGAGAGAGUUUCACAAGUGUCGCCCACAAUUUCAGUCGGGCAAUAUAUCUGCACCAGUACUUUUCGUCGUCAUUAGGGGGAUCAGCGAUGGCACCUCAGGAUUCAUUAAGUUUCAAGGUGCGGAGAUGUGAGGCUGAGCUGGUGCGUCCCGCGAAGCCCACGCCUCGUGAGUACAAGAGGCUUUCUGACAUUGAUGACCGUGAAGGCCUCCGCUUCCUGAUCCCUGUGAUCCAAUUCUACCGGGGUGACGACACAGGAAGAGACCCAGCGAGGGCCAUCCGGGAGGGCCUUGCCAAUGCACUGGUGUUCUACUACCCCUUCGCGGGCCGCCUGAGAGAGUGGCCAGGCCGGAAGCUGGUGGUGGACUGCAACGAGGAGGGGUGGCAUUCGUGGAGGCCAGUGCAGAUGUCACCCUUGACCAGUUCGGGGACGCCCUCCACCCUCCCUUCCCCUGCCUGGAGGAGCUUCUUUUCGACAUUCCUGGCUCCUUCUCCGUCCUGGAUUCCCCACUCUUGCUCAUUCAGGUGACUCGCCUCAAGUGUGGGGGCUUCAUCUUCGCGGUGCAUCUCAACCACACCAUGAGCGACGCGACGGGGCUGGUCCAACUCUUGAAGGCCGUGGGGGAGAUGGCGAGAGGUGCCAAUGCCCCCUCCAUUCUCCCCGUGUGGCAAAGGGAGCUGCUGGAUGCCCGAGACCCGCCCCGAAUCACGUGCAACCACCACGAGUUCGAUCAGGUGGCCGACACGAAAGGCACGCUCAAUCCACUCGAUGACAUGGACCACCGCUCCUUCAUCUUCAGCCCUGCCCAAAUGUCCAUCCUCCGCAAUGGGUUGCCUCCCCACCAGCGCGUGAGAUCCACGUUCGAGAUCCUGACCGCGUUUGUCUGGCGAUGCCGCACCAUUGCACACCAACAUGACCCCGAGGAGGAGGUGCGCCUGCUGUGCAUCGUCAACGCCCGGUCCAAGUUCAACCCUCCCCUGCCAGCCGGAUACUAUGGCAACGCGUUCGCGAGUCCCGGGGCAGUCACGAGCGCGGGCAAGCUGUGUCAGAACCCAUUGGGGUAUGCGCUGGAGUUGGUGAAGAAGGCCAAGGCGGAAGCGACGGAGGAGUACAUGAGGUCGCUGGCAGAUCUUAUGGUGAUAAGGGGGAGGCCCCGUGGCACGGAGGUGCGGUCCUUUAUGGUGUCGGACACGACCAAGGUCGGGUUCGGGGACGUGGACUUCGGUUGGGGGAAGGCCAUGUAUGGAGGCCAGGCCACGGGCGCAGUUGGGGCCAACCCCGGGCUCGCCAGCUUUUACAUCCUCUCGAGGAACUAUCAAGGCGAGACCAGCAUCAUCGUCACGGUGUGCUUGCCAGCCCCAGUCAUGCAAAGAUUUGUGCAGGAGCUGUACGCCAUCCUGAAAGGUCCACCGGCUACCACUAUGCACAAAGAGAAGUCACCCGUUAUCCUUUCUUCCAUGUGAAUUCAUCCGCCUACGCAAAAUGGGUAUGGUAACAACAAUUCCGUCUUGUGCGAUGAACUCCUUCGGACUUUAUGGGAGCGAAAACUCGUACCUAUAAAUCACCAUUUUGUUAAAAGAGAACCAAGUCUUUUCUACCUUGUAAUUGUUCACGUUAAUUUGACAGUCUGCAGUUGGGAAUUGAUGUA